GAUCCUGGCUCAGGAUGAACGCUAGCUACAGGCUUAACACAUGCAAGUCGAGGGGCGAGCAUGGUCUUAGCUUGCUAAGACUGAUGGCGACCGGCGCACGGGUGAGUAACACGUAUCCAACCUGCCGUCUACUCUUGGACAGCCUUCUAGAAAGGAAGAUUAAUACAAGAUGGCAUCAUGAGUCCGCAUGUUCACAUGAUUAAAGGUAUUCCGGUAGACCGAUGGGGGU
RNAcentral lists this ribosomal RNA (229 nucleotides) under uncultured bacterium. Its description in RNAcentral is "partial 16S ribosomal RNA". It matches the Rfam family "Bacterial small subunit ribosomal RNA", at positions 15 to 232 of the family's 1533-position model. The record is from RNAcentral.